GUGAUCCAGGAGUGGGAGCUGUAUCACAGCCACUCUCGUACAUGUUUCAGGAUGUCAGUGGGGCAGUUUGAACUCUUGUUAGCAGAGUUGGAACCACACGUGAGGAGGGUCACGUGGGGGCUGGAGCCCAUUACCAGCUGUCAUUGAGAGAAUGAAGAGGUAUGCCCUGGAAGGUCGCCAGUCUAUUGCAGAACUAACACAGAGAGACAGAUGACCAUUCACAUUCACACGGCCAAUUUAGACUGGCCAAUUAACCCAACCACAUGCAUGUCGUUGGACUGCAGGGGGAAGCUAGGGAAAUCCAGCACAGGGACAACAUGCAAAGUCCACACAUAACUGUCCCGGGAAGCCGGUGAAUUCCAGGCACCAGUCCUACCCACGAGACCGCAGUGCUAUUCGUCUGUAUGGGUUACCUCCUAAUAGGUAACUGUUCUGCAUUCUGUUGAAUCCCUCCAAAUGUGGUGGUGCUGUGGUGCUGGGUCUUGGACCUUAUUGAGUUGCAUUUCCUUUGCAUGGUGUCCUGAACUUUGGCUUGUUGUCUUAUCGUCCAUAGUUUCCUUGGUUACACUCACCUGUUAAUCUUGAGGGAUAGUAGGUGUUCCCGUUAUGUUACUUCCUGUUUUAUUUUAUUAAUCUUUUCUCUCAUGUGUUUAGUAUUCACUUUUCUUUCUCCAGUCCUGUUCCCCAAGUUGUCUGCACCUGUGUUUUCUGCAGCUGUUAUGACUUCCUUCCUGUUUCUGUCAGUGCAGUUGGUAACUCUUCCUGACAUGUUUCUUCUUGGUUUAUGUUCCUGCUCCUACAGUUUCCCCAUACUUUGAUUUUGUCACCCGUUAGACUUUGUUACUUUUGGACUGUACCUGGGAUUUCCAUUAAAAGUAGAUUUUGAGUUUUCAUUUC
Oreochromis aureus is the source of this 897-nucleotide long non-coding RNA. RefSeq lists it as uncharacterized. The transcript has 2 exons. Lineage: Eukaryota; Metazoa; Chordata; Actinopteri; Cichliformes; Cichlidae. The record is from RefSeq and is a predicted model, not a curated record.